AAGGCACCUUAAAUUUAUUCUUGAGAUUUCAUAUUUUAUCAGUGAUAUCUCAACCCCGUCUGUUUGAUCGGUUCCUACCAAAUGAAGCACGAAGACAUAAAGAAUAAAAGAAAAGAUGCAUUACCGUUUGAGUUUGGAAAUGGGCUUGAAGAGGGAUGGGUAGAUUGGGUGAAAACUAAGCAUUGUAUCCACUUUGUUUUUGAAGACAUCCAAAAAAAUGAGAAACAAACACAAGGAACAGGUUUUACAACACUUAGAAUUAAUCAACUACACUUUGGUCUACCCCUACCAGCUAGCAAUUUAUUCGUAAAGGAAGUUAUCUUCAACUCCUAAAGUUCUCUAUUGUUGUUCUGUAAUUGCAGGUUUUAAGAGCUUGCUGGUACCUUUUGUCAAUUGAGAGACAAGAAGCAUGCUGGAGAUAUACCUGCAGUCUUGAGAACCAAUCUUCUGACACUGGUUUAUGAGUUUAAGCCGGAAAACAAGGCUCUAAAAGAGCGUUUGCUUCCUUCUUGGUCCUUUUCUUCCCGUCGUGUAUCAAAAGAAUUCAUGGACACUCAGCAAUUGGCUACACACGCGUUCAUGUCCCACAAGUUCAGGUUGAGAGCAGAGCACCUGAGUCUUCACAAAGCAAUUUGUGUUCUGUUAGGGUGGAAAAGUGGGGUGGCCCCUGAUGUUAGCACAUGGGUUCUGGAGCAUAUUCCUUAUAAAGAAGCCAUGGCUCAGAAGGAGGAUGUCAUUCUCUGGCGGUCUUCCUCGUUCAUAACAGUUCUAUAGAAGAAAAUAAAGUGGAUGAGCAGCAAGUCGUAAGUUUAGACGCAGUUGGAAACUUUCUUAGAGGUGAGUGUCUUAUAUCUAUGGUGAAUAGAUCAAAUGUGAUGCUUCAAAACUGAAUUGCAAUUUUGAACCUAUAUGGUUAUGGGUGUCGCUUUCUUUAUGAGAUUUGAACCAAUGUAUGUUAUAUGGUCAUAGUGGUAAGGUUCUUGGGUAUGUUUUCUGGUUUGCAAGAUGCAGAGGGGCUUCACAAAUAUUUUGUCGACGACAAGCGUGGAAGAGAUUUUGGGCGAGGGGACCCCCAGUUCCAGCAAGGGCAAAAGCAGCAGCAGUAAUGAGGUAGCUGGGAAAAAGAAUGUGGAGCUUUAUGGAUACAUGGGGAUUUCUGAGGACUUUGGAUAAAAUCGAUAUAGAUACAAAGAGAAAGUGUUAAAUAAAGAGCAAGAAGGAGAUCCAUAAUCUUGAAAAUGCUCCUGUUAAACCCGAAUGAGCGUGGGGCAUUUACUACGACAGAGAAGUUCUUCUGACCAAAAAACAGAUUUUGAUUUACAGUUUAUGUUUAGACAUGAGUGAUUGAUUUUGAUGGUUUGGAUAGGAAGCGGUUGUUUAAACUUCCGGUCUACCCAGGAUACGUGGCAUUCACAAAAGAUUUUGCAACUUCCGGUCUACCCAGGAUACGUGGCAUUCACAAAAGAUAUUGCUUACGUUAAAGAAAUUCAUCUACUAUUUUAAAUCUUGCUGAGAAGUGAUAUAAACAAAUGUUGCGUUGUGUUU
This is a long non-coding RNA of Rhododendron vialii, 1545 nucleotides long. RefSeq lists it as uncharacterized. The transcript has 2 exons. NCBI's taxonomy places the organism in Eukaryota, Viridiplantae, Streptophyta, Magnoliopsida, Ericales, Ericaceae. The record is from RefSeq and is a predicted model, not a curated record.